GUGACUAUUAUUAACUACAACGAGAUGUAAUUCGACCAAAAUGCAAUGCAACUAAAAAGGAAAUGGACUUUUGCUCAUUACAGAUAUCGCGUCGCAUCGUAUUGUGGGCUUAAAGCCAGGAAUUGGAAUUAAUUUGAGAAUAAAGACAAGCAUGUUAAUGUUGGAUAUGUGCGGAUGCUGUGGAAUCAUGGUGGCUGGAGUGAACGGAAUUGUGAUUGAUCCGCGCUAAUGGUUUCAUCAAGUUUAUUAUCCUUAUUAUUAACUAAAAAGUUUGUUAUUGCACGCAAAACAGGUAGUGUUCAAAUAAAAUAAAAACAAACAAAAA
Molecule: long non-coding RNA, 325 nt
Organism: Nematostella vectensis (starlet sea anemone)
Lineage: Eukaryota; Metazoa; Cnidaria; Anthozoa; Actiniaria; Edwardsiidae
Exons: 2
Source: RefSeq, a predicted model, not a curated record